Oncorhynchus keta (chum salmon) is the source of this 4553-nucleotide RNA transcript. It is a transcript of the gene named type I phosphatidylinositol 4,5-bisphosphate 4-phosphatase-B-like, with no coding region annotated. The record is from RefSeq and is a predicted model, not a curated record. Lineage: Eukaryota; Metazoa; Chordata; Actinopteri; Salmoniformes; Salmonidae. The transcript has 10 exons.
AACAUCACGUCCAUCACUUGCAUAACGACGAACGAGUCAUGUGACAGAGUGUUGUUGGUUUGUUGGGCUUCCUGGUUUCCGUGAUCAUGUGAAUACUACAGCUAGCCGUCCCGGUCAUACACACUACCCCAGUUUGGGCACUCGACACCCCGCUACAGCCUGCGCUGGUUCCCACUAGCUACUCUAUGGCGGAUGGAGAGCGUAGCCCGUUGCUUUCGGACCAGCACGACGGGACGAAUGGUGCCUCGUAUGGCUUUCCCCCGAGGCCACAGAGUUUCCCUCCAUUCCUCAGCCCCAGUGCCCCUCCAUUCCUCAGCCCCAGUGCCCCUCCAUUCCUCAGCCCCAGUGCCCCUCCAUUCCUCAGCCCCAGUGCCCCCCCUCCAGUCCUGUUCGGUGAAGCCCCGCCUCCCUACUCUCCCCUGGGCAGCCCAGACAUUGGCAGCUCCCCCAUCAUCAGUUGCAGGGUGUGUCAGAGUGCCAUCAACGUGGAGGGAAAGACACACCAACACGUAGUCAAGUGUGUCAUCUGCAAUGAGGCUACGCCUAUAAAGAAUGCACCAGCAGGGAAGAAGUAUGUCCGCUGCCCCUGUAACUGUCUCCUCAUCUGUAAAGUCACCUCCCAGAGGAUCGCCUGUCCCCGACUUUACUGUAAGCGUGUCAUGAACUUGGGUCUGGUGCCUGCUGCAGGGUCCGGUUCAGGCAGUCCAGAACCUCAACAACUCGCUGGGGUCAGAGUGGUCUGUGGACACUGCAGAAACACAUUCCUGUGGACUGAUUUCUCAGACAGAACGUUAGCCAGAUGCCCCCACUGCAGAAAAGUCUCUUCUGUUGGCCGGCGGUACCCCAGGAGGCGGGGCUUGUGGUGUUUCCUGUUGUUUUUGGUUUUCUCUGGCGGCACGGCAGGACUAGUGGUGGGAACGUGUAAAUCAGCCUUGCUCAACAGAGGGAUCUAUGCCUCCUGGGUCUUCCUGAUUCUCCUGGCUGUACUGAGCAUGUGCAGAAUGAUCUACUGGGGCUGUCUGAAGAUCAGCGAACCUAUACAGAUCAACCCAUAGAGGGGAGAGGAGCCCAUACAGAACAUCACAUAGGGGGGAGAGGAGCCCAUACAGAACAUCACAUAGAGGAGCCCAUACAGAACAUCACAUAGAGGAGCCCAUACAGAACAUCACAUAGAGGAGAGAGGAGCCCAUACAGAACAUCACAUAGAGGAGGAGCCCAUACAGAACAUCACAUAGAGGAGAGAGGAGCCCAUACAGAACAUCACAUAGAGGAGAGAGGAGCCCAUACAGAACAUCACAUAGAGGAGAGAGGAGCCCAUACAGAACAUCACAUAGAGGAGAGAGGAGCCCAUACAGAACAUCACAUAGAGGAGAGAGGAGCCCAUACAGAACAUCACAUAGAGGAGAGAGGAGCCCAUACAGAACAUCACAUAGAGGAGAGGGAGCCCAUACAGAACAUCACAUAGAGGGGAGAGGAGCCCAUACAGAACAUCACAUAGAGGAGAGAGGAGCCCAUACAGAACAUCACAUAGAGGAGAGAGAAGCCCAUACAGAACAUCACAUAGAGGAGAGAGGAGCCCAUACAGAACAUCACAUAGAGGAGAGAGGAGCCCAUACAGAACAUCACAUAGAGGAGAGAGGAGCCCAUACAGAACAUCACAUAGAGGAGAGAGGAGCCCAUACAGAACAUCACAUAGAGGAGAGAGGAGCCCAUACAGAACAUCACAUAGAGGAGGAGCCCAUACAGAACAUCACAUAGAGGAGAGAGGAGCCCAUACCCAUAGAAAUGAGGGAGGGGUUCCUCAAUGCUGGAAGAGGGACCCCGAGUUAAAACAAUAGGGAACCCCUGACACGGAGAGGAACAGAGAGAUGCGCUGAGGGAGAUAUGGUAUAGGAAGGAGCGUGAGAACAAACAUUAACAUGACCAGAUCAAACUAGAUCCAACCAGAUCAAACUAGAUCCAACCAGAUCAAACUAGAUCCAAUCAGAUCAAAGCAGAUCAAACUAGAUCCAAUCAGAUCAAAGCAGAUCAAACUAGAUCCAACCAGAUCAAACUAGAUCCAACCAGAUCCAACCAGAUCAGUCCUGUUGGGACUAAUAGUCCCCUACUGUACUGGCUGUUGGGACUAAUAGUCCCCUACUGGACUGGCUGUUGGGACUAAUAGUCCCCUACUGGACUAAUAGUCCCCUACUAGACUAAUAGUCCCCUACUGGACUAAUAGUCCCCUACUAGACUAAUAGUCAACUACUGGACUGGCUGGCUGUUGGGACUAAUAGUCCCCUACUGGACUGGCUGGCUGUUGGGACUAAUAGUCCCCUACUGGACUGGCUGUUGGGAUUAAUAGUCCCCUACUGGACUGGCUGUUAGGACUAAUAGUCCCCUACUGGACUAAUAGUCCCCUACUGGACUGGGAGGACUAAUAGUCCCCUACUGGACUGGGAGGACUAAUAGUCCCCUACUGGACUGGGAGGACUAAUAGUCCCCUACUGGACUGGGAGGACUAAUAGUCCCCUACUGGACUGGGAGGACUAAUAGUCCCCUACUGGACUGGGAGGACUAAUAGUCCCCUACUGGACUGGGAGGACUAAUAGUCCCCUACUGGACUGGGAGGACUAAUAGUCCCCUACUGGACUGGGAGGACUAAUAGUCCCCUACUGGACUGGGAGGGCUAAUAGUCCCCUACUGGACUGGGAGGACUAAUAGUCCCCUACUGGACUGGGAGGACUAAUAGUCCCCUACUGGACUGGGAGGAUUAAUAGUCCCCUACUGGACUAAUAGUCCCCUACUGGACUGGGAGGACUAAUAGUCCCCUACUGGACUGGCUGGACUAAUAGUCCCCUACUGGACUGGGAGGACUAAUAGUCCCCUACUGGACUGGGAGGACUAAUAGUCCCCUACUGGACUGGGAUGAUUAAUAGUCCCCUACUGGACUAAUAGUCCCCUGCUGGACUGGGAGGACUAAUAGUCCCCUACUGGACUGGGAGGACUAAUAGUCCCCUACUGGACUGGGAGGACUAAUAGUCCCCUACUGGACUGGGAGGAUUAAUAGUCCCCUACUGGACUGAGAGGACUAAUAGUCCCCUACUGGACUAAUAGUCCCCUACUGAACUGGGAGGACUAAUAGUCCCCUACUGGACUAAUAGUCCCCUACUGGACUGGGAGGACUAAUAGUCCCCUACUGGACUGGAAGGGAACCUGGAGAAGCCUGCACUCGCCAUCACACCAAUCAAUCUCCGGUCGAUCAAAAACCAAUAAAUAUCACCAGGUCUGUAGCACUCAGUGAUUUAUUUUACUGUAGAAACUGAUUUUUACUGUAACAACUGACACACUCUGUUUCUACAGUAAAAUAAAACACUGAGUGCUACAGACCUGGUGAUAUUUAUUGGUUUUUGAUCGACUUGUGAUAGAUUGGUGAUUUUAUAUAUAUAUAUAUAUAUAUUUCACUCUCUGCAGUCAUUGGCAUUGUUAUGUGAUUGAUUUUUUAAAUAGUUGGUUUAUUUUCUAUUAUAGAGUUGUCUCCUGUUGUCUGUCACACUCUGGUUAAUUGUUGUAAUAUCUAACUAAGCGGAGUCCCAAAUGCCUCCCUGUUCCCUACUGCUAUUGACCUGAGCCCUAUUGGCCAUAGUGCCCUGCUUUUGACCAGGGCUUUAUGAGCCAUUGUGCCCUUCUUUUAAGUAGUUCCCUAUGAAGGGGAUAGAGUGCCCCUGCUUUUAAGUAGUGCCCUAUGAAGGGGAUAGAGUGCCCCUGCUUUUAAGUAGUGCCCUAUGAAGGGGACAGAGUGCCCCUGCUUUUAAGUAGUGCCCUAUGAAGGGGAUAGAGUGCCCCUGCUUUUAAGUAGUGCCCUAUGAAGGGGAUAGAGUGCCCCUGCUUUUAAGUAGUGCCCUAUGAAGGGGACAGAGUGCCCCUGCUUUUAAGUAGUGCCCUAUGAAGGGGACAGAGUGCCCCUGCUUUUAAGUAGUGCCCUAUGAAGGGGAUAGAGUGCCCCUGCUUUUAAGUAGUGCCCUAUGAAGGGGAUAGAGUGCCCCUGCUUUUAAGUAGUGCCCUAUGAAGGGGACAGAGUGCCCUGCUUUUAAGUAGUGCCCUAUGAAGGGGAUAGAGUGCCCUGCUUUUAAGUAGUGCCCUAUGAAGGGGACAGAGUGCCCUGCUUUUAAGUAGUGCCCUAUGAAGGGGACAGAGUGCCCUGCUUUUAAGUAGUGCCCUAUGACGGGGAUAGUGCCCUGCUUUUAAGUAGUGCCCUAUGAAGGGGACAGAGUGCCCUGCUUUUAAGUAGUGCCCUGUGAAGGGGAUAGAGUGCCCUGCUUUUAAGUAGUGCACUAUGAAGGGGACAGAGUGCCAUUUGGGAUGCGGAUCUAACUGUAACGUGUUUUUGCACUACAUCCUAAUGAUUUAGAUCUGGUCCAAGGCGUUACGUGCGACUUGCUGGUGCCGAACCUGCUAGAUGCACGUAACAACAUGGACAAGAGCUACCUAUCAAUGAUACAGCUGAAUAAUAACAUGUCCUGUUGUGCUGAUAUUCUGAGUAAUGAUGUGAGACUAAAAUACUUUUAACUAAA